This 253-nucleotide ribosomal RNA is filed under the name uncultured bacterium. RNAcentral's name for it is "partial 16S ribosomal RNA". It matches the Rfam family "Bacterial small subunit ribosomal RNA", at positions 524 to 776 of the family's 1533-position model. The record is from RNAcentral.
UACGUAGGGUGCGAGCGUUAAUCGGAAUUACUGGGCGUAAAGCGUGCGCAGGCGGUUCGUUAAGUUCGAUGUGAAAGCCCCGGGCUCAACCUGGGAAUUGCAUUGGAAACUGGCGGGCUUGAGUGUGGCAGAGGGGGGUGGAAUUCCACGUGUAGCAGUGAAAUGCGUAGAGAUGUGGAGGAACACCGAUGGCGAAGGCAGCCCCCUGGGCUAACACUGACGCUCAGGCACGAAGGCGUGGGGAGCAAACAGG